UACGGGGGGGGCAAGCGUUGUUCGGAAUUACUGGGCGUAAAGGGCUCGUAGGCGGCCCUCUCAGUCGGAUGUGAAAUCCCCAGGCUUAACCUGGGAACGGCAUCCGAUACUGGAGGGCUUGAAUUCGGGAGAGGGAUGCAGAAUUCCAGGUGUAGCGGUGAAAUGCGUAGAUAUCAGGAAGAACACCCGUGGCUAAGGCGGCUCUCUAGUACGGUACUGACGCUGAGACGCGAAAGCGUGGGGAGCGAACAGG
This 253-nucleotide ribosomal RNA is filed under the name uncultured bacterium. RNAcentral describes it as "partial 16S ribosomal RNA". It matches the Rfam family "Bacterial small subunit ribosomal RNA", at positions 524 to 776 of the family's 1533-position model. The record is from RNAcentral.